This 793-nucleotide ribosomal RNA is filed under the name uncultured bacterium. Its description in RNAcentral is "bacterial SSU rRNA". It matches the Rfam family "Bacterial small subunit ribosomal RNA", at positions 544 to 1342 of the family's 1533-position model. The record is from RNAcentral.
UCCGGAAUUAUUGGGUGUAAAGGGUGCGUAAGAUGGGAGAGCAAGUUAGUUGUGAAAUCCCUCGGCUUAAACUGAGGAACUGCAACUAAAACUCACUUUUCUUGAGUGCAGGAGAGGUAAGUGGAAUUCCUAUGUACGGUGAAAUGCGUAGAUAUUAGAGGAACACCAGUGGCGAAGGCGACUUACUGGACUGUAACUGACGUUGAGGCACGAAAGUGUGGGGAGCAAACAGGAUUAGAUACCCUGGUAGUCCACACCGUAAACGAUGGAUACUAGGUGUAGGAGAUAUUAAGUCUUCUGUGCCGUCGCAAACGCAAUAAGUAUCCCACCUGGGGAGUACGGCCGCAAGGUUGAAACUCAAAGGAAUUGACGGGGGCCCGCACAAGCAGUGGAGUAUGUGGUUUAAUUCGAAGCAACGCGAAGAACCUUACCAGGGCUUGACAUAUAUAGGAAUAAUUAAGAGAUUAAUUAGCUUUCGGAGUCUAUAUACAGGUGGUGCAUGGUUGUCGUCAGCUCGUGUCGUGAGAUGUUGGGUUAAGUCCCGCAACGAGCGCAACCCCCUGUCCUUAGUUACCAGCAAGUAAAGUUGGGGACUCUAAGGAGACUGCCGUAGAUAAUACGGAGGAAGGUGGGGAUGACGUCAAAUCAUCAUGCCCUUUAUGUCUGGGCUACACACGUAUACAAUGGGUGUAACAGAGGGAAGCAAAAUAGUGAUAUAGAGCAAAACCCAAAAAGCACCCCCAGUUCGGAUUGUAGGCUGAAAUUCGCUACAUGAAGCCGGAAUUGUAGUAAU